GAUUAAGCCAUGCAUGUGUAAGUAUAAAUAUUUAACUUUGAAACUGCGAAUGGCUCAUUAUAUCAGUUAUAGUUUAUUUGAUUAUAUCUACUACUUGGAUAACCGUAGUAAUUCUAGAGCUAAUACAUGGAAAAGCUCAUGAGCAAUCGUGAGUGUAUUUAUUAGAAUGAAAACCAGUAAUCCUUUGGAUUAUUUGUGAGUAAUAAUAACUUGUCAUAUCGCAUGCUUCGGUAGCGAUGUGUCUUUCAAGUUUCUGCCCUAUCAGCUUUCGAUGGUAGUGUAUUGGACUACCAUG
Molecule: ribosomal RNA, 295 nt
Filed under: Blastocystis hominis
Lineage: Eukaryota; Bigyra; Opalinata; Blastocystidae
Also listed under: 1 other name
Description: partial 18S ribosomal RNA
Rfam family: Eukaryotic small subunit ribosomal RNA
Source: RNAcentral